UACGGGGGGGGUAAGCGUUGUUCGGAGUUACUGGGCGUAAAGGGCUCGUAGGCGGCCAACUAAGUCAUACGUGAAAUCCCUCAGCUUAACUGGGGAACUGCGUGUGAUACUGGAUGGCUUGGAUUUGGGAGAGGGAUGCGGAAUUCCAGGUGUAGUGGUGAAAUGCGUAGAGAUCCGGAGGAACACCAGUGGCGAAGGCGACACGCUGGGCCGUACCUGACGCUAAGACGCGACAGCAUGGGGAGCGAACGGG
This 253-nucleotide ribosomal RNA is filed under the name uncultured bacterium. RNAcentral's name for it is "partial 16S ribosomal RNA". It matches the Rfam family "Bacterial small subunit ribosomal RNA", at positions 524 to 776 of the family's 1533-position model. The record is from RNAcentral.